This 123-nucleotide ribosomal RNA is filed under the name Pteropus alecto (black flying fox). Lineage: Eukaryota; Metazoa; Chordata; Mammalia; Chiroptera; Pteropodidae. The record is from RNAcentral.
GUCCCUGGCCAUGCCACCCUGAACAAGCCCGAUCCUGUUUCAUCUCAGAAGCUAAGCAGGGUUGGUUGGGCCUGGUUAGUACUUGGAUGGGAGACCACCUAGGAAGACCAGGUGCUGUAGGCG